Molecule: transfer RNA, 75 nt
Filed under: marine sediment metagenome
Description: tRNA-Glu
Rfam family: tRNA
About the family: Transfer RNA (tRNA) molecules are approximately 80 nucleotides in length. Their secondary structure includes four short double-helical elements and three loops (D, anti-codon, and T loops). Further hydrogen bonds mediate the characteristic L-shaped molecular structure. tRNAs have two regions of fundamental functional importance: the anti-codon, which is responsible for specific mRNA codon recognition, and the 3' end, to which the tRNAs corresponding amino acid is attached (by aminoacyl-tRNA synthetases). tRNAs cope with the degeneracy of the genetic code in two manners: having more than one tRNA (with a specific anti-codon) for a particular amino acid; and 'wobble' base-pairing, i.e. permitting non-standard base-pairing at the 3rd anti-codon position.
Source: RNAcentral
GCCCCCGUCGUCUAGGUAGGCCUAGGACACCGGGUUUUCAUCCCGGCAACAGGGGUUCAAAUCCCCUCGGGGGUA